GCCUGGCCGGCUCAGUCAGUGGAGCAUGGGACUCCUGAUCUCAGGGUUGUGAGUUCAAACCCCACGUUAGAUG
Molecule: transfer RNA, 73 nt
Filed under: Mustela putorius furo (domestic ferret)
Lineage: Eukaryota; Metazoa; Chordata; Mammalia; Carnivora; Mustelidae
Rfam family: tRNA
About the family: Transfer RNA (tRNA) molecules are approximately 80 nucleotides in length. Their secondary structure includes four short double-helical elements and three loops (D, anti-codon, and T loops). Further hydrogen bonds mediate the characteristic L-shaped molecular structure. tRNAs have two regions of fundamental functional importance: the anti-codon, which is responsible for specific mRNA codon recognition, and the 3' end, to which the tRNAs corresponding amino acid is attached (by aminoacyl-tRNA synthetases). tRNAs cope with the degeneracy of the genetic code in two manners: having more than one tRNA (with a specific anti-codon) for a particular amino acid; and 'wobble' base-pairing, i.e. permitting non-standard base-pairing at the 3rd anti-codon position.
Source: Rfam by way of RNAcentral